GACGAACGCUGGCGGCGUGCUUAACACAUGCAAGUCGAACGGGUCUGCCCUGUUUUUUGCGGGGUGGGUCAGUGGCGAACGGGUGAGUAACACGUGAGUAACCUGCCCCUCACUUCUGGAUAACCGCUUGAAAGGGUGGCUAAUACGGGGUGUUCUGGCUGUGCCGCAUGGUGUGGCUGGGAAAGAUUCACUUUUGUGGUGUUUUGGUGGGGGAUGGGCUCGCGGGCUAUCAGCUUGUUGGUGGGGUGAUGGCCUGGCAAGGCUUUGACGGGUAGCCGGCCUGGGAGGGUGGGCGGUCACACUGGGACUGAGGUACGGCCCAGACUCCUGCGGGAGGCAGCAGUGGGGGGUAUUGCACAAUGGGCGGAAGCCUGAUGCAGCGACGUCGCGGGAGGGAUGGAGGCCUUCGGGUUGUGAACCUCUUUCGCCGGUGAAGAAGGUCCUGCUCUUUGUGGUGGGGUUGACGGUAGCCGGGUUAUGAAGCGCCGGCUAACUACGUG
RNAcentral lists this ribosomal RNA (500 nucleotides) under uncultured bacterium. Its description in RNAcentral is "partial 16S ribosomal RNA". It matches the Rfam family "Bacterial small subunit ribosomal RNA", at positions 28 to 507 of the family's 1533-position model. The record is from RNAcentral.